CAGGUGGUGCAUGGUUGUCGUCAGCUCGUGUCGUGAGAUGUUGGGUUAAGUCCCGCAACGAGCGCAACCCUUGAUCUUAGUUGCCAGCAUUUAGCUGGGCACUCUAAGGUGACUGCCGGUGACGAACCGGAGGAAGGUGGGGUUGACGUCAAAUCAUCCUGUCCCUUAUGACCUGCGCUACACACGUGCUACAAUGGAUGGUACAAAGGGCUGCAAGACCGCGAGGUCAAGCCAAUCCAAUAAAACCAUUCUCAGAUCGGAUUGUAGGCUGCAACUCGCCUACAUGGAGCUCGAAUCGCUAGUAAUCGCGGAUCAGCAUGCCGCGGUGAAUACGUUCCCGGGCCUUGUACACACCGCCCGU
Molecule: ribosomal RNA, 361 nt
Filed under: Bacillus sp. AN10
Lineage: Bacteria; Bacillati; Bacillota; Bacilli; Caryophanales; Bacillaceae
Description: bacterial SSU rRNA
Rfam family: Bacterial small subunit ribosomal RNA
Source: RNAcentral